This 253-nucleotide ribosomal RNA is filed under the name uncultured bacterium. Its description in RNAcentral is "partial 16S ribosomal RNA". It matches the Rfam family "Bacterial small subunit ribosomal RNA", at positions 524 to 776 of the family's 1533-position model. The record is from RNAcentral.
UACGAAGGGGGCUAGCGUUGUUCGGAAUCACUGGGCGUAAAGGGCGCGUAGGCGGCUAAUCAAGUCGGGGGUGAAAGCCCGUGGCUCAACCACAGAAUUGCCUUCGAUACUGUUUGGCUUGAGACCGGAAGAGGACAGCGGAACUGCGAGUGUAGAGGUGAAAUUCGUAGAUAUUCGCAAGAACACCAGUGGCGAAGGCGGCUGUCUGGUCCGGUUCUGACGCUGAGGCGCGAAAGCGUGGGGAGCAAACAGG